UCGCGGCUUAACACCGGCAGUCCCUUCAGAGUGCCCAACUUAAUGGUGGCAACUAAAGGCAAGGGUUGCGCUCGUUGCGGGACUUAACCCAACAUCUCACGACACGAGCUGACGACAGCCAUGCAGCACCUGUGUUACGGUUCCCUUUCGGGCACCCUCACAUCUCUGCGAGGUUCCGUACAUGUCAAGGGUAGGUAAGGUUUUUCGCGUUGCAUCGAAUUAAUCCACAUAAUCCACCGCUUGUGCGGGUCCCCGUCAAUUCCUUUGAGUUUUAACCUUGCGGCCGUACUCCCCAGGCGGUCAACUUCACGCGUUAGCUUCGUUACUAAUGGGUUUAACCCCACCAACAACCAGUUGACAUCGUUUAGGGCGUGGACUAC
RNAcentral lists this unclassified non-coding RNA (380 nucleotides) under uncultured Gammaproteobacteria bacterium. RNAcentral's name for it is "contains 16S-23S intergenic spacer region". The record is from RNAcentral. Lineage: Bacteria; Pseudomonadati; Pseudomonadota; Gammaproteobacteria.